GGGUAAUCUUCCGCAAUGGGCGAAAGCCUGACGGAGCAAGACCGCGUGGGGGAAGAAGGCUCUUGGGUUGUAAACCCCUUUUCUCUGGGAAGAAAGUUGUGAAAGCAGCCUGACGGUACCAGAGGAAUCAGCAUCGGCUAACUCCGUGCCAGCAGCCGCGGUAAGACGGAGGAUGCAAGCGUUAUCCGGAAUGAUUGGGCGUAAAGCGUCCGCAGGUGGCAGUUCAAGUCUGCUGUCAAAGACCGGGGCUCAACCUCGGAAAGGCAGUGGAAACUGAACAGCUAGAGUAUGGUAGGGGCAAAGGGAAUUCCUGGUGUAGCGGUGAAAUGCGUAGAGAUCAGGAAGAACAUCGGUGGCGAAGGCGCUUUGCUGGACCAUAACUGACACUCAGGGACGAAAGCUAGGGGAGCGAAUGGGAUUAGAUACCCCAGUAGUCCUAACCGUAAACGAUGGAUACUAGGUGUUGUCUGUAUCGACCCGGACAGUGCCGUAGCUAACGC
This 500-nucleotide ribosomal RNA is filed under the name uncultured cyanobacterium. RNAcentral's name for it is "bacterial SSU rRNA". It matches the Rfam family "Bacterial small subunit ribosomal RNA", at positions 356 to 858 of the family's 1533-position model. The record is from RNAcentral. Lineage: Bacteria; Bacillati; Cyanobacteriota.